This 465-nucleotide ribosomal RNA is filed under the name uncultured bacterium. Its description in RNAcentral is "partial 16S ribosomal RNA". It matches the Rfam family "Bacterial small subunit ribosomal RNA", at positions 338 to 795 of the family's 1533-position model. The record is from RNAcentral.
CCUACGGGAGGCUGCAGUAGGGAAUCUUCCACAAUGGGCGAAAGCCUGAUGGAGCAACGCCGCGUGGGUGAAGAAGGUCUUCGGAUCGUAAAACCCUGUUGUUAGAGAAGAAAGUGCGUGAGAGUAACUGUUCACGUUUCGACGGUAUCUAACCAGAAAGCCACGGCUAACUACGUGCCAGCAGCCGCGGUAAUACGUAGGUGGCAAGCGUUAUCCGGAUUUAUUGGGCGUAAAGGGAGCGCAGGCGGUCUUUUAAGUCUGAUGUGAAAGCCUUCGGCUUAACCGGAGUAGUGCAUUGGAAACUGGGAGACGUGAGUGCAGAAGAGGAGAGUGGAACUCCAUGUGUAGCGGUGAAAUGCGUAGAUAUAUGGAAGAACACCAGUGGCGAACGCGGCUCUCUGGUCUGUAACUGACGCUGAGGUUCGAAAGCGUGGGUAGCAAACAGGAUUAGAUACCCCUGUAGUC